Molecule: unclassified non-coding RNA, 2642 nt
Filed under: Hevea brasiliensis (rubber tree)
Lineage: Eukaryota; Viridiplantae; Streptophyta; Magnoliopsida; Malpighiales; Euphorbiaceae
Source: RNAcentral
AAGAAGGGAAGGUCCAACGUCCUACUCCUCUCUUUGCGGUCAAUUUCUUAAAGGGAAGGACUCUUUCGUCUAUAUCUUCUAUUAUCUCUUGUGUUUGCCUAACAAGGAUUAUAUAUAAAACCCCAUAACUUCUUCUUGUUUAUUUGUGCUUUGCGAGUGUGUGUGUUGCUAAAAAUAUUCACUUUGGCAUUUCAAGAACCUCAAUAAACAUGGUGGGUUAUGAGGAAAAGCUUCUUGCAGGAGGAGAACAACAGCUCUCCCUUUCUCAACCUGGCCCUCUUGUCUUUGAGCUCGAUCGUCUGCAGAACCUUCUUAGAGAGAAAGACACGGAAUUGGGAGCUGCUAAUGCAGAAAUUAAAGCUUUGAGAACAACAGAAGUUUCAAAGGAUAAGGCUAUAAAAGAGCUUGGAAAUGAAGUUAAUAAACUGGAGGAGAAGCUCACAAUCUCUGAAAAUCUUGUAGAGCAUAAGAAUCUUGAAAUCAAGAAACUCAUAAAUGAAAAGAAAGAUGCAUUAGCUGCACAUUAUGCGGCAGAAGCAACUCUUAGAAGGUUGCAUGCAAAUCUAAAGGAUGAUGAUUCACUUCCUAUUGAGUCCAUCAUAGCUCCUCUUGAGGCAGAGAUUAAAAUGUAUAAAAAUGAGAUUGCUGCAUUACAGGAGGACAGGAAGGCAAUGGAACGCCUCACCAAGUCGAAAGAGUUAGCUCUUCUUGAAGCAGAACGGAUCCUUCAAAGUGCUCUAGAAAGGGCUUUAAUCGUAGAGGAGGUUCAAAAUCAAAAUCAUGAGUUGAAGAAACAGAUAGAAAUCUGCCAGGAAGAGCACAGAAUUCUGGAGAAAACGAAUCGCCAAAAAGUUAUGGAGGUUGAAAAGCUUAGCCAGACCAUUCAAGAGCUUGAAGAGGCAAUUCUAGCUGGUGGGGCUGCAGCCAAUACUAUCCGUGACUAUAAGCGACAAAUUUCUGAGCUACAUGACGAGAAAAGAUUGCUGGAGAGAGAGCUAGCCAGAGCCAAAGUUUCAGCAAAUCGAGUAGCAACUGUAGUAGCUAAUGAGUGGAAGGAUGAAAAUGACAAGGUCAUGCCUGUCAAGAAAUGGCUGGAAGGGAGAAGGCUGCUGCAGGCGGAGAUGCAACGGCUAAGAGACAAGUUAGCUGUAGCAGAGAGAACAGCUAAGGCAGAAGCACAGCUCAAGGACAAGUUGAAGUUAAGGCUAAAGACACUGGAGGAAGGCUUAAAGCAUGUAUCGAGUUUCUCUGUUAACUUCACUAAGCCAGCAAAAACCAGUAACAUUCUAGGAUUUCUAACAAGUAAUGGAGGAUUAAGGAAGAGGUCAACUUCACAGCCAAGGGCUUCCACCAUCAGUAGAGGUAUUCCUUUGCAGCAACCAAACAUAGAAAACGAAAAUACCAUUGCUGGUGGGGAGCUGAAACAAGCUGAUAGCUUCAAAAAGAAAUACUGUUACGCAGAAAACAAAUUGAGAAAUAGUCUAUGGUCAUCUAGGAGUAAGAUUAUUGAUAGCAACGGAAAGGAAAACACAGAAUUGAAGGCGAAUACUUACGCAAAUAUCGACAUGUAUAAGAAUGAUGAUACAACAAUUUCGACAGAACUCAAAAACAAAGCUGGUGGCAAUGAGGACUUACAUUGUAAGAGAAGUACCAAUCCUGAAUGUGAAGACGUAGUUUCAGGAUUUCUAUAUGACAGACUUCAAAAGGAGGUCAUAAAUCUAAGGAAGAUUUGCGAGGCUAAAGACAGUAGCUUGGAUGCUAAAGAUAAAGAAAUUCAGAUGCUCAUGAAGAAUGUUGCUGCACUGAACAAAGCUAUUGAAGUUGAAUCGAAGAAAGUGAAGAAAGAAACUGCAGCCAGAGAGAAAGAAGCUGUAUUAGCAAAAGUGGAUCAUAACAAAAAGUUUGGGAGUAUGAACUCCACUAGAAGGCAAGUAAAUUCAAACCUUUACCUUUUUUGGUUUAUCUUUGAUCAUAACAAGAAAUGACUGUAUUGCUAAAUUCAGAAUCCUGAUUGAUACACAGUAAAUAACCUUCAAAAUUAUUUGGACUGCAGCAGGUUAAUGAAAGUGUCUUGAAGAAUUCUUUGAUUGGAUUGACUUGAAAUCUAUUCUACCUUAAAUUAAUUUCAUUCUUCAACCUGGUGUUCUGAUUUUUCCAUGUAAAUCUGGGGCUGCUUUAGUGAUGAUAGAUAGUUGAAAUAAAGUUCAGAUUCAAUGCGAAAGGAGUUCUGACCUUGUUACCUGAUAGCAUGGAGUUGAAUUGCAAUUAUUUCUGCUUUGAGAUAUACUUGAAUGAUUUCCAAUUUGGUUUGCUUUGUGUAUAUGAAUAAAUAGCAAUACAGAUGAUCUGAAAAUUGGAAACAAAAUGUUCUACUCAGCAAGAAAUAUGUACAUAGAAACGGUUUUUAUACAAAUAAAGGCCAGAGAGAUUCAUUGGAAAAUUAUGUGUACAACAAAAUAUAGACCCCAUCUUGCCUCUUCUUAUCUUCUCUUUUGCUCUGGAUAAAGAAUUUGUUGGUUAUUAAUAAUUGCAGUUCAAUUCCCUUAAAUUCCUGUGGUAGUAUUCUGCUGGCCUUAAUUAAAAGCAGGCUUCACUGAGCACUUCUCAUUCAAUGGUCUAUCACAGGGUAUUCAGAUCCUUUC